GAAAUGCGAUAAGUAAUGUGAAUUGCAGAAUUCAGUGAAUCAUCGAAUCUUUGAACGCACAUUGCGCCCCCUGGUAUUCCGGGGGGCAUGCCUGUCCGAGCGUCAUUACUGCCCUCAAGCGCGGCUUGUGUGUUGGGCCCCGUCCCCCUGGGGACAGGCCCGAAAGGCAGUGGCGGCGCCGUGCCCGGUCCUCGAGCGUAUGGGGCUUUGUCACCCGCUCUGGAGGCCCGGCCGGUGUCUGCCGACCCCCCGACGUUCGCGUCUUUCCAGUUGACCUCGGAUCAGGCAGGGAUACCCGCUGAACUUAA
Molecule: unclassified non-coding RNA, 308 nt
Filed under: uncultured Eurotiomycetes
Lineage: Eukaryota; Fungi; Ascomycota; Eurotiomycetes
Description: sequence contains ITS1
Rfam family: 5.8S ribosomal RNA (bases 1-105)
Source: RNAcentral